Molecule: long non-coding RNA, 153 nt
Organism: Cervus elaphus (red deer)
Lineage: Eukaryota; Metazoa; Chordata; Mammalia; Artiodactyla; Cervidae
Exons: 3
Source: RefSeq, a predicted model, not a curated record
UUUGGGGCAAAAUGAGGACUGCAGCCCAGGAGGUGGCAUCUCAGGUAGCUUUGAGAGAUUGCUCUAAAGCGGCAGUGGGCGAAGGUCAAUAUAUAAAGUUUUGGUGAAUGGGGAGUUCAAUACCAUUAAGCACUCAUAUUCUUUUUUUAAGGA